Molecule: ribosomal RNA, 431 nt
Filed under: uncultured bacterium
Lineage: Bacteria
Description: bacterial SSU rRNA
Rfam family: Bacterial small subunit ribosomal RNA
Source: RNAcentral
GAUGAACGCUGGCGGCGCGCCUAACACAUGCAAGUCGAACGGCACCCCUCUCCGGAGGGAAGCGAGUGGCGAACGGCUGAGUAACACGUGGAGAACCUGCCCCCUCCCCCGGGAUAGCCGCCCGAAAGGACGGGUAAUACCGGAUACCCCCGGGAGCCGCAUGGCUCCCGGGCUAAAGCCCCGACGGGAGGGGAUGGCUCCGCGGCCCAUCAGGUAGACGGCGGGGUGACGGCCCACCGUGCCGACAACGGGUAGCCGGGUUGAGAGACCGACCGGCCAGAUUGGGACUGAGACACGGCCCAGACUCCUACGGGAGGCAGCAGUGGGGAAUCUUGCGCAAUGGGGGGAACCCUGACGCAGCGACGCCGCGUGCGGGACGGAGGCCUUCGGGUCGUAAACCGCUUUCAGCAGGGAAGAGUCAAGACUGUACC